This 429-nucleotide ribosomal RNA is filed under the name Gemmatimonadota bacterium. RNAcentral describes it as "Gemmatimonadetes bacterium partial 16S ribosomal RNA". It matches the Rfam family "Bacterial small subunit ribosomal RNA", at positions 355 to 776 of the family's 1533-position model. Lineage: Bacteria; Pseudomonadati; Gemmatimonadota. The record is from RNAcentral.
UAGGGAAUCUUCGGCAAUGGACGAAAGUCUGACCGAGCAACGCCGCGUGAGUGAAGAAGGUUUUCGGAUCGUAAAACUCUGUUGUUAGAGAAGAACAAGGACGUUAGUAACUGAACGUCCCCUGACGGUAUCUAACCAGAAAGCCACGGCUAACUACGUGCCAGCAGCCGCGGUAAUACGUAGGUGGCAAGCGUUGUCCGGAUUUAUUGGGCGUAAAGCGAGCGCAGGCGGUUUCUUAAGUCUGAUGUGAAAGCCCCCGGCUCAACCGGGGAGGGUCAUUGGAAAGUGGGAGACUUGAGUGCAGAAGGGGGGAGUGGAAUUCCAUGUGUAGCGGUGAAAUGCGUAGAUAUAUGGGGGAACACCAGUGGCGAAGGCGGCUCUCUGGUCUGUAACUGACGCUGAGGCUCGAAAGCGUGGGGAGCAAACAGG